Molecule: ribosomal RNA, 532 nt
Filed under: uncultured bacterium
Lineage: Bacteria
Description: bacterial SSU rRNA
Rfam family: Bacterial small subunit ribosomal RNA
Source: RNAcentral
CUUACCAACAUUUGACAUCCCUCUGACCGGUCUAGAGAUAGACCUUCUCUUCGGAGCAGAGGUGACAGGUGGUGCAUGGUUGUCGUCAGCUCGUGUCGUGAGAUGUUGGGUUAAGUCCCGCAACGAGCGCAACCCCUAUUUUUAGUUGCCAUCAUUAAGUUGGGCACUCUAGAGAGACUGCCGGUGAUAAACCGGAGGAAGGUGGGGAUGACGUCAAAUCAUCAUGCCCCUUAUAUGUUGGGCUACACACGUGCUACAAUGGUCGGUACAACGGGCAGCGAAAGGGUGACCUUAAGCGAAUCUCAAUAAGCCGAUCUUAGUUCGGAUUGUAGGCUGCAACUCGCCUACAUGAAGCCGGAGUUGCUAGUAAUCGCGGAUCAGAAUGUCGCGGUGAAUACGUUCCCGGGUCUUGUACACACCGCCCGUCACACCACGAGAGUUGGUAACACCCGAAGUCAGUGAGCUAACCGUUUACGGAGGCAGCUGCCGAAGGUGGGAUUGAUGAUUGGGGUGAAGUCGUAACAAGGUAACC